ACUCUUACCUGGCUCCAGUUACUUGAGGUCCGUGAGGGAGGUUAUUUUAUUGCAUUAGAGCAGAUGGACAGAGUGGCUGGGGACACAUCCAGACAAGAGCUGCCAUGUGGUAGAGGAGAAAAAGGUGGAAAUUUGGUAAUUGAGAAUAAGGUUGGGGAAGGCGGUACCUGCCUUGAGGGAACCACUUGGUCAGUGUGUCUUCCUUGCCCUGUCCUGGUGGAGUCAAGGUGCUGUAGUUGAAUGGCUGAUGCUCGCACUUGCACAGCAUCUUAUACAUUAACCGCACUGUUGUUCUGUUGCAGAUGUGAAAAAAGUGCCCUUCUGAAACUACACUAAUCGCAGCAUGCAGUAUGCAGAGUCUGACCUGGCCAGGAAUGUCAUCUAUGAAUGUCAUACAAGAUGGUGUCAAAAACUGUGUUGAAAUCCCUGUACAUAGCAUCUUCUCUGGGACAUGGGGAGGAUUCUUGGAGAAAACUGCUGAAUGCUCUGGGCCUGCAAGUCCAGAUCUCCUCCAUAAUGAAAGUCAUCAAGCCCAGCUAAUGCAAGAAUUAACUUCCUAAUCUGUUAUCUCCUUCCCUUGUGUCACUGAAGAUUUCUCACUUCUGCCACUGGAGGAAAUGGGGGUAGCUCCCUUUUGAGUAAAGGCUGUAGCAAAAAUAGCCUCAUGCCUCUUGACAGCAUUUCUGCCCCAUGAAGCGCUGGAGCACCCCUCACCAUCGCCCUCCAGUACGGGCAGCGUCUCCGGGAGCGGUCGCGGGUGUCUCGAGUUCCCUGAGGUUGUGGCUUGUUUGGGGCCCAGACCCUCCAACUUCGUGCUUAAUUUCCUCUGCUGUUCUCACCUGUCAAUCCCAAUAACUGGAAGUAUUUCUCCUUUCUUUUCACUUCUGUCCUAUGCUUGAUGUCAAUGCAAAGCUUCUAGUUUUGAAAAGUUGGUCUGUUACUAAAUUCCUCCUGCCGCUUUCAUCAUCAGAAGAGUUUUCAGUUGUUUAAGUCACCAUGAGUUCUCUCUCACAUCUGUGUAGAUUUCCCUUCCAUGGGCUCUUCCUCACCAAUUUUACCAGUUUAUGAAGCAGCUGGAUUUUUUCUUGUUUUUCUUCCCUUUUUGGCCAGAAUGAAAUCUAGAAAACCUCCAGCUCUAAGGGUUUUGUUUGUCUGUUUUACCUUUUGGAUAAGAGCUGUUCUGCCAAUGCAGUCAUAAAACUUGCCAAGCAAUCAGUGAUUUACAAGAUCCCUGUCAGGCAAUUCUGAGUAGCUAACAUUCCUUGCUGCCACCAAAUACUGUUUUUUUGGAUGAUAUCGUGAACGACUCGUUAAAAUGACUGGUCUGUUUUCUCUUCCUAGCUGAAUUUCUGUACGGCUCUGCUCUAAUGGAACCCAUUUUUCCUUCUUUAAAUCUUAUUCAAAGAUUAUUUCCUCUUGCAGUCUCAUACUCGGUGAGUGUACCUGUGCUUUUGAGAUCCUCCUUGUUUGCCCUUCCUGAACAAGCUAUACAGUUGGAAUUAAUAUUCUAGACAUAAGUUAUCCCAACAAGCCUGUUAUGCCAAUUAAAUCAGAAUUUUG
This is a long non-coding RNA of Calidris pygmaea (Spoon-billed sandpiper), 1560 nucleotides long. NCBI's taxonomy places the organism in Eukaryota, Metazoa, Chordata, Aves, Charadriiformes, Scolopacidae. The record is from Ensembl.